This is an RNA transcript of Lutzomyia longipalpis, 2412 nucleotides long. RefSeq lists it as uncharacterized. NCBI's taxonomy places the organism in Eukaryota, Metazoa, Arthropoda, Insecta, Diptera, Psychodidae. The transcript is spliced from 7 exons. The record is from RefSeq and is a predicted model, not a curated record.
AAAAUACCCCAAGAGUAGCCUCCAGUGCAAUCUGUCAAAACUUGUGCAAAUAAUAGAAGAAGAAAAUCAAAAUUAAUUUUCAAUGUGCUAAAAUGAUAAAAAUAAAUGUCUAUAUUUCUACACUAUUUAUUCUCUUAUCGUUGAUUGUUGCAUCCAAAGCUUAUUCAAAUUACGAGGUGAAAAUAACAUCAAACACACCUGCAGUUCUGGGCUCUCAGGUGACAUUCCGUGCUGAAUUGUAUACAGAUGGGAAGCUCGUAGAUGAUGAAUACAAAUUCUACUGGGAGGAUAAUGCAAUUCCCAGUCAUAGAUCUCAUGGUCAAAAAACAUCCAAACCAACCUCAGAAUGGACAUUGAGCUAUCCUAGUGAUUUAUAUCCUUCCGGGACGUAUGAAGUUCAAGUUUCAGUGCAAAAAUGGGAGAUUGUUUUCUACAUUGAAAUUGCCUCUGCCAGGAUAGAAUUCAACCUCACAACUUUGCUCAAUGGAGAGUUGGAGCUAUCCCAAAAUGGAACAUUGCGCGAAAAUGAGUACGUUGCAAGUGAUACGUUGGUGGAUCAUACGAUAAAGUUUAAGGAGAGUGAUAUGGAAUUGUUGAAGAAUAAUGCAACAUAUGUUCAAACAUUCUGGUUUAUUGAUUGCGUCUACGUUGGCUUUACGGAGAACUACACGCUUUUCAAUCAAUACAAAAAUGAAAAUCAAAAAUAUAACAUUGAAACCCUUGUUGUUGCUUCGUAUGAUAAAAUUCCCGAACCUACGACAACAACAACCACCACCACAACUACUACCACAACUACUACUACGACCACAACAACCACAACUUCAACUACUACGACUCCUACUACGACAACUCCCACUACAACAACCCCUACUACCACAACUCCUACCACUACGACACCAACAACAACAACAACCCCUACUACCACGACAACCCCCACAACAACAACAACAACAACCACAGAAAAGAGCAUUUCCAAGAGGGAGGCGCCGGAAGAUUUAGAGAUUGAACCAAAUGGAGAGAAGAUUUCGCCAGAGAACGCCACGGAUUUCCUAGGAACGGAAAUUUCAGUCAAAGAGGAGAAGAAGUAUACAAUUGAUCAACCAUUUGUGUGCUUUAAUCAGUCUACUGUAGCUCCGGAUCCCAAGAAAACGUAUGGAUACUUCAAACGAACAGUUGUGGUCAAACAUUCAAUUAAAAAUGUAACCAUUACUGGCAACAAUUGGCUUCAUCACGGAGAUUUACUCUCGCUUAAAGUAAAAUGUUCCGGUUCGCCACCUUUUAAGCAUUGCCUUAAAGUUCACAAUGGUCCCUACAAUGUCACGGGAAAUGAGACAUGCAUCGCUUGGUUGCCAACGGACACGUGUGAGUUCGAUGCAACGCAUUACUUCCAAUUGGCACAGCAAUACACGCUCGUUGUGAUCAUCAAGAAUGAUGUCACGAAGACGGUUAAUCCAGUUGCUGUGAAUAUUUAUGAAGUGAAGAAGCAGUCUCAACUUUCUGUGAUCGUUGUGCCAGUGGCAUUCACCCUCCUUGCUGUGAUUGCGGUCAUUUUCGGCGUAGCAUAUUACAUACAGAAUAAAAAGAGAUCAAUUGUCGAAGUGGCUGAUUUCAACUUUGGGGACACUCAAUCAGUCGAUAUGGAGUACAAGACCUUCCAUCAGAGACUCAUUGAUAGUGUCCGACAAGCCUUCAGGGAGAACUCUCCAAAUCCCGGUCCGUCCCAUUUAACAGGUGACUCAUCCCUCGCAUAUGGAUCAAUGACAUAAAAAACAAACAACAACCUGAGAGGGAUCUAUGCUGAAACCUGUUGAUAUUAAAAUUACGAUAAUUUGGGAUAAAAAAAAGGAGGUGAGUAUUAAAUUCACAAGGAAAUAUCUGGAAAUCUCUCAUCAACAUCAAUGGAUCAACUGACUUUAUAUCCUGCAACAACAAUCUAUUUAAUUCUAGAGGAAUUAGAGGAAACCUAAAUCAUAAAAUCAUCGUGAAGAGAUCUGCAAGACACAGAGAGACGAAGCCUUGUUUAAGCCAUAUAAAAUUAAUUAGGUAACAAAAAAAAAAUUAGAGAUCUUAAUAAAAAGUAAAUUUUCAUCCAUAAAAUACAAAAUCAAUAUCACCAAAAAUUUGUUAAUUCUGGUCCUAUCACAAGAAAAAAGUUGAAGAAAAAAAUAGAAUAAGCUGAUCAUGUUUAAUCUAACUUUGCAUAAAGCGGAAUUAAGUAUAAAAAGAAAAAAAUCUUUAAUGGCAUUUUCCUGGAUAAUAACUUUGGAGCUUACAAUUUGCACCGAGGUCAUAAUCUCUGUAGUGAAAAAGAAAGUCAAACCUUAAUACCCUUAAUAGAUAUCUGAGUGAAUAUGGUGGAGAUAGGUGAUUAAUGAGAAUAUUAAAUCUUAUUAAAGAGAAUGUACUUUGUAA